RNAcentral lists this ribosomal RNA (769 nucleotides) under uncultured bacterium. RNAcentral's name for it is "bacterial SSU rRNA". It matches the Rfam family "Bacterial small subunit ribosomal RNA", at positions 741 to 1504 of the family's 1533-position model. The record is from RNAcentral.
UGACGCUGAGGCGCGAAAGCAGGGGGAGCAAACGGGAUUAGAUACCCCGGUAGUCCCUGCCCUAAACGAUGGAUGCUAGGUGUGAGCGGUAUCAAUCCCGUUCGUGCCGUCGCUAACGCAUUAAGCAUCCCGCCUGGGGAGUACGGCCGCAAGGUUGAAACUCAAAUGAAUUGACGGGGACCCGCACAAGCGGUGGAGCAUGUGGUUUAAUUCGAUACUAACCGAAGAACCUUACCCAGGCUUGACAUCGAUGGUAAGCCUCAGAAAUGGGGCCCCCUACUCACAAGGUAGGCCUGAAGACACCUGUUGCAUGGCUGUCGUCAGCUCGUGCCGUGAGGUGUUUGGUUAAGUCCAGCAACGAGCGCAACCCGCAUCCUAUGUUGCCAGCGGGUCAUGCCGGGCACUCAUAGGAAACUGCCGGGGCAACCCGGAGGAAGGUGCGGAUGAUGUCAAGUCAGCAUGGCGGUUACGCCUGGGGCUACACACAUGCUACAAUGGGCGAAACAGAGGGCUGCAAUGCCGCGAGGCGGAGCUAAUCCCAAAAUACGCCCCCAGUUCAGAUAGCAGUCUGCAACUCGACUGCUUGAAGGUGGAAUCGCUAGUAACCGCAGGUCAGCUAUACUGCGGUGAAUACGUUCCCGGGUCUUGUACACACCGCCCGUCAAGCUAACUGAGUCUGUUGCACCCGAAGUCCGUGGCUCAACCGCAAGGAGAGAGCGGCCGAAGGUGUGGCCGGUAAGGGGAGCUAAGUCGUAACAAGGUAACCGUA